This 278-nucleotide ribosomal RNA is filed under the name uncultured bacterium. Its description in RNAcentral is "partial 16S ribosomal RNA". It matches the Rfam family "Bacterial small subunit ribosomal RNA", at positions 335 to 605 of the family's 1533-position model. The record is from RNAcentral.
GGUCCUACGGGGCGCAGCAGUAGGGAAUCUUCCACAAUGGGCGAAAGCCUGAUGGAGCAACGCCGCGUGGGUGAAGAAGGUCUUCGGAUCGUAAAACCCUGUUGUUAGAGAAGAAAGUGCGUGAGAGUAACUGUUCACGUUUCGACGGUAUCUAACCAGAAAGCCACGGCUAACUACGUGCCAGCAGCCGCGGUAAUACGUAGGUGGCAAGCGUUAUCCGGAUUUAUUGGGCGUAAAGGGAACGCAGGCGGAGGUGCAAGUCAGCGGUCAAAUUGCGG